Molecule: ribosomal RNA, 608 nt
Filed under: Coralliocaris viridis
Lineage: Eukaryota; Metazoa; Arthropoda; Malacostraca; Decapoda; Palaemonidae
Description: partial 12S ribosomal RNA
Source: RNAcentral
UAUUGUGCCAGCCGCUGCGGUUAGACUGUGAUGGGAAAUAUUGGAGAUUAUCGGUUGAGUAGUUAUAGAUAAGAAGGCCCUAAAAGUUGUAUUUGAUUGGUUGGAAGUGAAAUUCGGUUUAUUAGUGUGCAAUUUGUGGGCCUUAGUUCUAGAGUCUAUCAAGGUCUAGGCAUAAACUAGGAUUAGAUACCCUAUUAUACUAGACAGAUAAUAAUUAGUGCUUGAGUAGUAGUUAGUUAUGAUCUUGAAAUUUAAAGGAUUUGGCGGUGUCCCAAUCUCGUCAGAGGAACCUGUUCUUGAAACGAUAUGCCACGAAAAAUCUUACUUUGUCUUGUACUAAAUGCAGCUGGUAUACCGCCAUUAUAUAAACACUUCAAGGUGGAAUGACAGAAGAGCUUAAAAUCCUACUUAUAUUAGGUCAAGGUGCCGCUUAUGACAAAGGUAGUGAUGGGUUACAUUGUAUUUUAUAAUUUCGGAGGGGAACUUGAAACAGUUUCUUUGAAGUCGGAUUUGAUUGUAAGUCUGUUGUUAGUAUGCUAGAUUGAUAACAGCGCUGGGGCGUGUACAAAUAGCCCGUCGCUCUCAGUAUAAAUGAGAUAAGUCGACAA